AAUGACCUACUGCCUCCCUUCUUGAUCUUAGCUGUUGCUGAGAGGCAGGCUAACUCUCCUGUCUCUGGAUUCUCUCAAUAUCCCCAUUGCCACUCUUCCCUUUGAGACCCAAGUUACUUCUCAGUUCUGGUCUAGUUCUCUUCCUUGGGGGGAAAGGUAUGAUCUUCCCCAAAUCUUCAGUCCCUUUUUUUUUGAUGUUAGAAAGCAGGUAGACCUGAUCAAAUGGGAUAACACUUUAUUCUUGGGGACACACAAUGCAGGGAGAAUGAGGGUGUUGGAUGAAGAAAGUGGGAGAUAGGAAUCCCUAUGACAACAACUGAUCUCCCCAAAUGCUGAGGGGUUCAGGCUGUCUGCCUGACUCUCCUUUUGGUCAGUUGUUGAAUUUGUCCUUCCUCCUAAGCUAAUCUGGCUAAGAGGUGAAGUCCAGGACAAUUUUGGGGAUAGAGAGAAAUCUUUUAGUAGAUGGCUUUCUAUAAAGUCCCAAUCUACUUUUGUCUUCAGCUGGAACCAGAGAGAUUUAGAAAGUAGUCAAUGUCCAGAGGGAUCCUCUGUCUCAGAGGUCCUCUCUCAGACCCUCCACUCCAGGAGAACUCACAGGAAGAAGUGAUCUGGAAGUUUCAACUUCCCCCAACUCCUCUGUUCCUUCUAGAAUCUUGAGUCUUCAUUGCCCUUCCCCCACUUGGGUUGUUCUUUUGCAAGUUGGAUCUGACUUUUUCUCUUACAUUGUGAACUUUAAAUUACUCUACUCUACUUAGAUCUUACUUUAUGGUGAAGACAAAGUUGUAAUCUCCUGAUUGAACAAUGAAGCAGAGAGGUGGAGAGGUGGCUGGUGGCAGCGUGCUGGGCCUUUCAGCAUCUUGGCAUGGCUACAGAUAUUGUCCGGUUCAGUGAGUGAAGAAAAACUAAAGAAGCAACAGAAUAUGAGACAUGGUCAAAGCAAAGAAAAGUGACAAUGAGUCAAAAUGAUAGAGAAAAGCUGCAGUGGCAGCUGGGAAAUAACUGGGCUAGUGAAGAACAAAGUCAGCUGUGAAAAAGCAGAACAGAAGAGAGCUCUGUGCACUGGAAGGAAUUUGCUUAACAGGUUUUGUGGUUAACAAAGAACUGAUUGCAAAGAAUGUGCCCAUCGAUUGGGGAAUGGCUAAACCAAUUGCAGUACAUGGACAUAAUGGAAUACUAUUGUGCUACAGAAAUUAUGAACUUGAAGAAUUUAGAGGAAUGUGACAAGACUUAUAUAAUGCAAUAAUAAAGUAAAGCAAAACUAGGAAAACAAUAUAUAGUUCUAUAAAUUACAAAACUUAAAAGAAUAAAACAAAGUUCACCACUGAAUAAUGGCAAUUCUUAGUUCUAAAGAGUUAAGAAAAUAUAUGAGUUUUUUCUUGGAGGUGGGGGUGAAGUGGGCGGUGGUCUAUCUUUGGUGAGGAAUGUUGCAUACACUGUCAGGUAAGUUCACUAUAUUAGUUGGUUUUGCUUAACUGUUAUUCUUUGUUACAAGGGAAGAUUAACAGAUGGGGAAGGGGAAAGGAAUAUAAGUAGAAAGGACUAUCAUAUUAAUGAAAAAAAGAAUAUUUCUAAAAAUAAUCUACAUAAUGUCUAGCAAGGAAUCUAUACAAAUCCAACAGAGAGGAUUAUGAAUUAAGAAUAAGGGCAAAUUAAGAAUAAAUGACCAAUUGGAACUUUCUUUAAUUGUGGUGUUUCUGGAGAAAUCUACAUGAAGCUUCAAGGAAAUAAUUUUUGAAAUUAUUAAUGAAUUAAUAAGCUAGGAAAGUAUUAACAAACCUCAU
Monodelphis domestica (gray short-tailed opossum) is the source of this 1781-nucleotide non-coding RNA. NCBI's taxonomy places the organism in Eukaryota, Metazoa, Chordata, Mammalia, Didelphimorphia, Didelphidae. The record is from RefSeq and is a predicted model, not a curated record.